This 867-nucleotide ribosomal RNA is filed under the name uncultured archaeon. RNAcentral describes it as "bacterial SSU rRNA". It matches the Rfam family "Archaeal small subunit ribosomal RNA", at positions 1 to 878 of the family's 1478-position model. The record is from RNAcentral.
UUCCGGUUGAUCCCGCCGGACCCGACUGCUAUCAGAGUGGGACUAAGCCAUGCGAGUCAACAUAGCAAUAUGUGGCAUACGGCUCAGUAACACGUAGUCAACAUGCCCAGGGGACGUGGAUAACCUCGGGAAACUGAGGAUAAACCGCGAUAGGUCAUCACUUCUGGAAUGGGUAAUGACUUAAAUCUAUAUGGCCCCUGGAUUGGACUGCGGCCGAUCAGGCUGUUGGUGAGGUAAUGGCCCACCAAACCUGUAACCGGUACGGGCUCUGAGAGGAGGAGCCCGGAGAUGGGCACUGAGACAAGGGCCCAGGCCCUAUGGGGCGCAGCAGGCGCGAAACCUCUGCAAUAGGCGAAAGCUUGACAGGGUUACUCUGAGUGAUUUCCGUUAAGGAGAUCUUUUGGCACCUCUAAAAAUGGUGCAGAAUAAGGGGUGGGCAAGUCUGGUGUCAGCCGCCGCGGUAAUACCAGCACCCCGAGUGGUCGGGACGUUUAUUGGGCCUAAAGCAUCCGUAGCCGGUUCUACAAGUCUUCCGUUAAAUCCACCUGCUUAACAGAUGGGCUGCGGAAGAUACUAUAGAGCUAGGAGGCGGGAGAGGCAAGCGGUACUCGAUGGGUAGGGGUAAAAUCCGUUGAUCCAUUGAAGACCACCAGUGGCGAAGGCGGCUUGCCAGAACGCGCUCGACGGUGAGGGAUGAAAGCUGGGGGAGCAAACCGGAUUAGAUACCCGGGUAGUCCCAGCUGUAAACGAUGCAGACUCGGUGAUGAGUUGGCUUAUUGCUAACUCAGUGCCGCAGGGAAGCCGUUAAGUUUGCCGCCUGGGGAGUACGGUCGCAAGACUGAAACUUAAAGGAAUGGCGGGGGAGCA